This 253-nucleotide ribosomal RNA is filed under the name uncultured bacterium. Its description in RNAcentral is "partial 16S ribosomal RNA". It matches the Rfam family "Bacterial small subunit ribosomal RNA", at positions 524 to 776 of the family's 1533-position model. The record is from RNAcentral.
UACGAAGGGUGCAAGCGUUAAUCGGAAUUACUGGGCGUAAAGCGCACGUAGGCGGUUAGUUAAGUUGGAUGUGAAAGCCCCGGGCUCAACCUGGGAAUUGCAUUCAAAACUGGCUAACUAGAGUAUGUGAGAGGGGGGUAGAAUUCCAAGUGUAGCGGUGAAAUGCGUAGAGAUUUGGAGGAAUGCCAGUGGCGAAGGCGGCCCCCUGGCACAAUACUGACGCUGAGGUGCGAAAGCGUGGGGAGCAAACAGG